Molecule: non-coding RNA, 430 nt
Organism: Phascolarctos cinereus (koala)
Lineage: Eukaryota; Metazoa; Chordata; Mammalia; Diprotodontia; Phascolarctidae
Source: RefSeq, a predicted model, not a curated record
UGGGAAUGGGCAGAAGUUGGUGUUUGUCCAGAUAUUUCUUGAGUACCUAAUGACGUGUAAGACAUUAUGCUGCGCAUGAGGACAUAUAAAAAGAGGCAUUGUGGUCUGCUGGACUGGAGCAGGAGCAGGAACUUCUACAAACCACCUGGCCUUCCAGACGUUGAAGUUUCAUCAGCGUCAUUGGCAUUCUCUCCAGCACUUCUGAGGGAUCAGUGCUGUGAGCUGGUAGGAAGGAGCUGGGCUCCAGCACACCACUGACUGGGUCAGCACAGAUGUGGGCUUGAAUCCUCUUCUUACAAGAAGUAGUCGUGUGACUGGGGCAGGUCACAACAUCUGCAGAUUGGGAGUAAUUGUGUAUCUACUGUGUAUCUCCUCCACAGCAAUGUUACAAAAAUAAAAGAUCUGUGCAAAUUUUAAAUCACCAUGUAGA